This 24-nucleotide non-coding RNA is filed under the name Arabidopsis thaliana (thale cress). The record is from RNAcentral. Lineage: Eukaryota; Viridiplantae; Streptophyta; Magnoliopsida; Brassicales; Brassicaceae.
UUCGUUUUACCCUUAGCAGCCUUC